Molecule: long non-coding RNA, 794 nt
Filed under: Homo sapiens (human)
Lineage: Eukaryota; Metazoa; Chordata; Mammalia; Primates; Hominidae
Description: HSALNT0363027
Source: RNAcentral
GUUCUUCCCGGGGAAUGCAACAGCUGAUUCACCUGCUCCACGCUGAUUAAUAAUCAAACUACCAUUGUGUGGGGCCUAUCUUCCUACUGGACCUCAAAACCCACCUACUCCACAAGUUUAUCUUCACAAUUAUGAGCUACCUGCUUCACGUCACACUACAGCACCUAAAAGCAAAUAAUAAAGUUUAUUCUUGAGUUAACCUGCCUCUGUGUUCAGCCAAUCCCUCCUGCACGUGAGUGAUGCACCUGGAUGCUGCAUAAGGAGAGAUGGAAAUACCUAAGGUGUGGUCCUUACUUCCAAGGGGCUUAUAGCAGAACGAAGACUCGAAAGCAAGCACACCCACAACCACAACACAGCCGCUGGCACACACAGCAGGAAAGACACCGGGUUUAAUGGAGCAGAGAAAGGGGGCGUCAUCUCCAGGCACAGCUCCAUGAAGAAGAUGACAUUGACCUGGGAGCUCUGAGCCUUCAUAUAAUGAGUAAGCUUUCAGCUGGAAGAAAUCCCAAGUGGAGAAACAGGAAGCUAUAAAAGAGCAAUGGUUUUGGAUUCACAAAACCUGCCUGAGUGAACCUGGUUGCCAUUCUAGCACAGAGAUCCUGUCUCAAAAAAAAAAAAAAAAGAGGCCUGAGAGAACGUGUUUAUGUCUUUUCCCAUGUGAAGACACAGCUAGAAAGCACCAUCCUUGAAACUGAGAGCAAGCCCUCAUCAGUCAGUGAAUCUGCUGAUGCCAUGUUCUUGGAAUUCCCAGCUUCCAGAACUGUGAGCAAUAAAUGUACAUAGAUUGCAAAUUA